RNAcentral lists this ribosomal RNA (506 nucleotides) under uncultured bacterium. RNAcentral describes it as "partial 16S ribosomal RNA". It matches the Rfam family "Bacterial small subunit ribosomal RNA", at positions 29 to 523 of the family's 1533-position model. The record is from RNAcentral.
AGUGAACGCUGGCGGUAGGCCUAACACAUGCAAGUCGAACGGCAGCACAGGAGAGCUUGCUCUCUGGGUGGCGAGUGGCGGACGGGUGAGGAAUACAUCGGAAUCUACUCUGUCGUGGGGGAUAACGUAGGGAAACUUACGCUAAUACCGCAUACGACCUACGGGUGAAAGCAGGGGACCUUCGGGCCUUGCGCGAUUGAAUGAGCCGAUGUCGGAUUAGCUAGUUGGCGGGGUAAAGGCCCACCAAGGCGACGAUCCGUGGCUGGUCUGAGAGGAGGAUCAGCCACACUGGAACUGAGACACGGUCCAGACUCCUACGGGAGGCAGCAGUGGGGAAUAUUGGACAAUGGGCGCAAGCCUGAUCCAGCCAUACCGCGUGGGUGAAGAAGGCCUUCGGGUUGUAAAGCCCUUUUGUUGGGAAAGAAAUCCAGCUGGCUAAUACCCGGUCGGGAUGACGGUACCCAAAGAAUAAGCACCGGCUAACUUCGUGCCAGCCGCCGCCGUAA